This 194-nucleotide ribosomal RNA is filed under the name uncultured bacterium. RNAcentral's name for it is "partial 16S ribosomal RNA". It matches the Rfam family "Bacterial small subunit ribosomal RNA", at positions 1307 to 1500 of the family's 1533-position model. The record is from RNAcentral.
GCAACUCGCCUGCAUGAAGUCGGAAUUGCUAGUAAUCGCAGAUCAGCAUGCUGCGGUGAAUACGUUCCCGGGCCUUGUACACACCGCCCGUCACACCAUGGGAGUCGGUAACACCCGAAGUCGGUAGCCUAACCGUAAGGAGGGCGCCGCCGAAGGUGGGAUUGAUGACUGGGGUGAAGUCGUAACAAGGUACC